UACGUAGGGUGCAAGCGUUAAUCGGAAUUACUGGGCGUAAAGCGUGCGCAGGCGGUUGUGCAAGACCGAUGUGAAAUCCCCAGGCUUAACCUGGGAACUGCAUUCGAGACUGCAUUGCUAGAGUAUGGGAGAGGGAAGUGGAAUUUCCGGUGUAGCGGUGAAAUGCGUAGAUAUCGGAAGGAACAUCAGUGGCGAAAGCGACUUCCUGGACCAAUACUGACGCUCAUGUGCGAAAGCGUGGGGAGCAAACAGG
Molecule: ribosomal RNA, 253 nt
Filed under: uncultured bacterium
Lineage: Bacteria
Description: partial 16S ribosomal RNA
Rfam family: Bacterial small subunit ribosomal RNA
Source: RNAcentral